RNAcentral lists this small nuclear RNA (155 nucleotides) under Sciurus vulgaris (Eurasian red squirrel). RNAcentral describes it as "U4 spliceosomal RNA (ENSSVLG00005023201.1)". It matches the Rfam family "U4 spliceosomal RNA". Rfam says of the family: U4 small nuclear RNA (U4 snRNA) is a component of the major U2-dependent spliceosome. The structure of U4 snRNA from yeast and human has been reported. U4 snRNA presents a k-turn RNA motif in the 5p-SL related to recognition of Snu13 protein. The record is from Rfam by way of RNAcentral. Lineage: Eukaryota; Metazoa; Chordata; Mammalia; Rodentia; Sciuridae.
AGCUUUGCGCAGCGGCAGUAUCGUAGCCAAUGAGGUUUAUCCGAGGCGCGAUCAUUGCUAAUUGAAAACAGGAGUAGUUUUGGUGCUGGGGAUGAACCCUGGGCCCUGCACAUACUAGGCAAGUGCUCUACCACUGAAUGACACCCCAACAGGGG